GAACCUGCGGAAGGAUCAUUAAAGAAUGAUAUUUGGGUAUUAAUUUACUCAAUCUAUCUGAACUUGUGGUAAUAUUGAUAAAAACAUUUGGGCUUUAAAAUGGUAGUCAUCGUAAGAUUGGUUAUCGGCUCAAAAAACUUUAUACACCUCUUUUAUUAUUGACUGAAUUAUCAAGUAAAUUAAUCCAUUGAUUUGGGUUAAAAAAAAGUUUUAAAUAACUUUCAACAACGGAUUUCUUGGUUCUCGCAUCGAUGAAGAACGCAGCGAAAUGCGAUACGUAAUGUGAAUUGCAGAUUUUGUGAAUCAUCGAAUCUUUGAACGCAUAUUGCACUCUUUGGUAUUCCGAAGAGUAUGCUUGUUUCAGUAUCAUGAAAAUCUCACAAUUUUCAAUUUUUUUUUGAAAAUUAGUGGACUUGGGUUUGCGAUUCUCUAGAAUUGCUAAUCUGAAAUGAAUUUCAUGAAGCUAACAUGCUUUUAAUCUUUGCUUAAUAGUUUUGCUUUGUCAAAUCUUUUGCAUCGAUCUUAAAAGCCAAAAGUGAAUUGAUUUUACGAAAAUUAAAAUCUCAUUU
RNAcentral lists this ribosomal RNA (569 nucleotides) under Mucoromycotina sp. WSF14_P94. Its description in RNAcentral is "eukaryotic LSU rRNA". The stretch from base 217 to 369 matches the Rfam family "5.8S ribosomal RNA". Lineage: Eukaryota; Fungi; Mucoromycota. The record is from RNAcentral.